CGGGGCGUGGCGCAGUCUGGUAGCGCGCCUCGUUCGGGACGAGGAGGCCGUGGGUUCGAAUCCCGCCGCCCCGACCA
Molecule: transfer RNA, 77 nt
Filed under: Luteolibacter sp.
Lineage: Bacteria; Pseudomonadati; Verrucomicrobiota; Verrucomicrobiia; Verrucomicrobiales; Verrucomicrobiaceae
Also listed under: 3 other names
Description: tRNA-Pro
Rfam family: tRNA
About the family: Transfer RNA (tRNA) molecules are approximately 80 nucleotides in length.
Source: RNAcentral